AUGUACAGGAUUUUACUUGGCUGUGUGCAUGGGUUUGGUUUUGUUGUUUGUUUGUUUUUUUUUUUCCUAAAAAAUGCUAACCUCUGUUUUCUUCUGUCAUUGUUGUUUUGUUUUUCUCCAUUGCUGCUUUGCCAUCUCGUGUAUCCACAGCUGAGGCCAUGGCAAGGAACAGCUGCAGUGCCACUGGAAUAUAACAGAACAACCCCCUGGUGUUCACUGGGGCAUAAAUUCUCAGAUCCUCAAGUCUUUGACUUAGGUUGUCUUCUUAGGGCUAAGAACUUUAUGCAAACAGGUUAUUUGGGAAGCCAGAUGGACCCAGGCUAAAAUCAUCUGUAUUUCCAACAUGUGAAAAACGAUGUCAGAGUGGACACCUGAAGAGAGGCGUGUGUGUGGUGGGUGCUGAGCACACAGACCGAACCUCAGCUGCCCCAGGUCCCCCAUCAGCUGUCCCAGAGCCACUGUGAGGGUUAAAGGACAGAAAGAGCCCCAGGCACCACUCACAUGUGGACGGGGAUGGCUCUGGAGCAGCCCUGUCCUGGUUCUUUCCCCUUGCUGGCUUUUAACCCUUGUUAGUGGCUGCACCCAUUCUCCAGGAGAGAUGAAUGGAGCACAGCUCUGGGCCUUUUGCUUGUGUUUGGUUUCAGAACAGGCAGGUGAUGUGCUGUGUUCAGCACCCCUCUCUUUUCCUUCAGGUUUUCCCCCUUAGAAAAGGAGACACGGAAAACAGAGCAGCAGAAAUAGGAAGAGGGCAACCAUGUUCUAGUCUGAUGCGGAGUCUCCCUGGGAAAUACCCCCAAGCCUUGGGGAGCAGGGCUGCCUUUAUUGGGUGAGCUGCAAAGCAAAACUUCUGUUCUCUACCAACUACUGGUCGUUAGUACGAAUGCUAACACGGUGUGUGCUCAGCUGGACAGAUGUUCAGUCCUGGCGGGUUGUUAUUUGCUCCUGUAUCGUCCACAAGCACAGUUUAUGGCCAACUCCAGCAAUGCUCCUCUAUACAGCAGCAAUCUGUACGAUUUCUGUAAUGAAACAAAACAACAUACAGGAUUGCUUUGCGUGGCAGAGGGGCGAGAAGCAAACCGCUUUGCAAGUGAUUAACUUUAUUUUGAAGCUCAUAUUUCUCCCCUGCUCCUCGAGGCUGUUCUCAUGCAACCCUCUCUGCGCUGCUCCCCCUGCAACGUCCCAUUGAUUCCCAAUAGCUGAUGGUGGUCGUGCAGGUGGUGAUGGAGGAGCAGCCCCAGAUGCCCUCAUAGGGCGACGUCCCACUGCCCCAAACCCACAGUGCCCAAGGAGGUGCCGGGAGCCCUCUGGCUAUUCCAGGUGGUAAUUAAUGGGGAGAGGCCCCCAAGGAAGGUUCCCUGAUGCCUGGAGCCUUGCUGUGUCCCUAAUUUCCAGCCCCCCGGGUCAGUUGAGACAGAUUUCUGUGCAGAAAGUGUAAUUAAUGGCUGAGGCACUCAAGAUAUUAAUAGGUGGUAUUUCCACAUUCCUAUUUUACAUUAAGCCUGAAGGAGGGCUUUGAACACCCCCCGACCCUUCACAAUUAAAUACCAGCUUAGAAAAGCAGUUUUCCCUUCCUUCCUUCACUCCCGCUGCCCGGCCCAAUGCCGGGGGGUGCUGCCCAGCUGCAGGAUGCUCGGGGGCACACGGGGUCCCUACCCCCCAUUCCCUGGGCAGGCACAGAGCA
Long non-coding RNA from Meleagris gallopavo (turkey), 1681 nucleotides. NCBI's taxonomy places the organism in Eukaryota, Metazoa, Chordata, Aves, Galliformes, Phasianidae. The record is from Ensembl.